This 253-nucleotide ribosomal RNA is filed under the name uncultured bacterium. RNAcentral describes it as "partial 16S ribosomal RNA". It matches the Rfam family "Bacterial small subunit ribosomal RNA", at positions 524 to 776 of the family's 1533-position model. The record is from RNAcentral.
UACAGAGGGUGCGAGCGUUAAUCGGAAUUACUGGGCGUAAAGCGUGCGUAGGCGGUCAGGUAAGUCGGGUGUGAAAGCCCCGGGCUCAACCUGGGAAUUGCAUUCGAGACUGCGUGGCUAGGGUGCGGAAGAGGGAAGCGGAAUUUCCGGUGUAGCGGUGAAAUGCGUAGAUAUCGGGAGGAACACCGGUGGCGAAGGCGGGUCUCUGGGCCGAUACUGACGCUGAGGAGCGAAAGCAUGGGUAGCGAACAGG